Molecule: ribosomal RNA, 229 nt
Filed under: uncultured bacterium
Lineage: Bacteria
Description: partial 16S ribosomal RNA
Rfam family: Bacterial small subunit ribosomal RNA
Source: RNAcentral
UACGUAGGCGGAAGAUUAAGCCAGUGGUGAAAUCCUGCAGCUUAACUGUAGAACUGUCAUUGAUACUGGUUUUCUUGAAUUUAGUUGAGGUAGGCGGAAUGUGUAAUGUAGCGGUGAAAUGCUUAGAUAUUACACAGAACACCGAUUGCGAAGGCAGCUUACUAAACUAUGAUUGACGCUGAGGUACGAAAGCGUGGGGAGCGAACAGGAUUAGAUACCCUGGUAGUCC